Molecule: long non-coding RNA, 352 nt
Filed under: Rattus norvegicus (Norway rat)
Lineage: Eukaryota; Metazoa; Chordata; Mammalia; Rodentia; Muridae
Description: long non-coding RNA NONRATT009371
Source: RNAcentral
GUACUCCAUCCCUACCAAUUACCACAAGCUCAAAACUCUCAUGGCACGGAGGACCUAUUUGGAAUGGCCCACAGAAAAGAGCAAGCAUGGACUCUUUUGGGCAAAUCUAAGAGCAUCCAUUAAUGUUAAGCUGGUCAACCAGGCAGAAGCAACAUGUUACACACAGCAAUAAGAAUACCCACCUCAUCAGGAAGCUGCUUUGGGGAGCAACAACACUGGGGAGUUCUGGUAAUGGUACCAUUCACAUCAGCAAGAAGCAAAAGAUGUUUCUGUCUUUAUGAUGUGGGAAUUCGUGCUUUUUAGCCCGACUGUGCCACUAGUGUUUGCUAAUAAAAAGUAGCGGGGUACUAUA